GAUGAACGCUAGCGAUAGGCUUAACACAUGCAAGUCGAGGGGCAGCAUGGUCUUAGCUUGCUAAGACUGAUGGCGACCGGCGCACGGGUGCGUAACGCGUAUGCAACUUGCCUCACAGAGGGGGAUAACCCGUCGAAAGACGGACUAAUACCGCGUACACUCCAUCUUGAGCCUCCAAGGUAGAGGAAAUGAAAUUCGCUGUGAGAUAGGCAUGCGUCCCAUUAGCUAGUUGGUGAGGUAACGGCUCACCAAGGCGACGAUGGGUAGGGGAACUGAGAGGUUGAACCCCCACACUGGUACUGAGACACGGACCAGACUCCUACGGGAGGCAGCAGUGAGGAAUAUUGGUCAAUGGGCGAGAGCCUGAACCAGCCAAGUCGCGUGAAGGAUGACUGUCUUAUGGAUUGUAAACUUCUUUUAUACGGGAAUAACAAGAGUCACGUGUGACUCCCUGCAUGUACCGUAUGAAUAAGCAUCGGCUAACUCCGUG
RNAcentral lists this ribosomal RNA (490 nucleotides) under uncultured bacterium. Its description in RNAcentral is "partial 16S ribosomal RNA". It matches the Rfam family "Bacterial small subunit ribosomal RNA", at positions 28 to 507 of the family's 1533-position model. The record is from RNAcentral.